Molecule: ribosomal RNA, 776 nt
Filed under: uncultured Neocallimastigales
Lineage: Eukaryota; Fungi; Neocallimastigomycota; Neocallimastigomycetes; Neocallimastigales
Description: partial large subunit ribosomal RNA
Rfam family: Eukaryotic large subunit ribosomal RNA
Source: RNAcentral
AGAGAGAGACAUGCGCGCAUAUCAAUAAGCGGAGGAAAAGAAACUAACAAGGAUUCCCUUAGUAACGGCGAGUGAAGCGGGAAGAGCUCAAAUUUGAAAUCUUCAAGGUUUUACCUUGACGAAUUGUAGUUUAAAGAAGUGCUUUCUGCUGAAGUUUUGGUAAAAGUUCUUUGGAAUAGGACAUCAUAGAGGGUGAGAAUCCCGUAUUUGACCAUUAUUUUCAGCUGUGUGAUACACUUUCAAAGAGUCGGAUUGUUUGGGAAUGCAGUCCAAAAUGGGUGGUAAAUUUCAUCUAAAGCUAAAUAUUGGCGAGAGACCGAUAGCGAACAAGUACCGUGAGGGAAAGAUGAAAAGAACUUUGAAAAGAGAGUUAAACAGUACGUGAAAUUGUCAAAAGGGAAGCGUUUGACACCAGUGUUGUUUUCUCGAAAAUCAAUUAAAAAUGGCUCGAUUUUGUAUUGCUUGAGACCUUAAAAGCUCACUGUACAUUCUUCGUGUCUUUUUUAAUGCACUUUUCGUUUAACAAGUCAACAUCAGUUUCUUUUGUUGUAAAAGGGUCAUUGGAAGGUGGCUUCCUUUUCGGAGAAAGUGUUUAUAGCCUUUGGCCUCUGCAAUCGGAGAGACUGAGGUCUGCAGCGUAGACUCUUCGGGGUUAGAUACAUUUGUGCUAAGUUAUAGCUUUUUAUAGACAACUUGAUUGACUAUAAUUAGUCUUGUAGCUUACUCGCUUAUGCUAUUUUACCUACGCUUAGGAUGUUGAAGUCAUCGUAUCGCGC